Molecule: non-coding RNA, 95 nt
Organism: Acanthosepion pharaonis
Lineage: Eukaryota; Metazoa; Mollusca; Cephalopoda; Sepiida; Sepiidae
Source: the annotation of a GenBank genome assembly
ACAUCACCGGUUCUUGUGCGAUCACUGAAGUUAAGCAAUGUCGAGCCAGGCCAGUACCUAGAUGAAUGACGGCUUGAGAAUACCAGUUGCUGUAA